UUUGAUAUAUUUAAUUUCUAAUUAAAUUAUACUACUUCAAUUUUUGUAGUGGUUUCCUUGGCAAUCUUCUUCUUUGACUUAUGGUAACUUGCUGAAGAAGAGAUCUGCUCUUGACACAUUUGUUGGUGUAAUAAAGCUGCAUAACAGAAACAAAGGAGAAAACGACAAACAAAAGUACAUGUUAGUAUUAGUUAAAUGUGGUAUAUAACGUUACUUAGUACAUAGUACACUUUUUC
This 236-nucleotide long non-coding RNA is filed under the name Lathyrus oleraceus (garden pea). RNAcentral's name for it is "Pisum sativum (pea) long non-coding RNA (PSAT_LNC000702)". The record is from RNAcentral. Lineage: Eukaryota; Viridiplantae; Streptophyta; Magnoliopsida; Fabales; Fabaceae.